AACGAACGCUGGAGGCAUGCCUAACACAUGCAAGUCGAACGAGAUCUUCGGGUCUAGUGGCGCACGGGUGCGUAACGCGUGGGAAUCUGCCCUUUGGUUCGGAAUAACAGUUGGAAACGACUGCUAAUACCGGAUGAUGACGAAAGUCCAAAGAUUUAUCGCCAGAGGAUGAGCCCGCGUAGGAUUAGCUAGUUGGUGUGGUAAAGGCGCACCAAGGCGACGAUCCUUAGCUGGUCUGAGAGGAUGAUCAGCCACACUGGGACUGAGACACGGCCCAGACUCCUACGGGAGGCAGCAGUGGGGAAUAUUGGACAAUGGGCGAAAGCCUGAUCCAGCAAUGCCGCGUGAGUGAUGAAGGCCUUAGGGUUGUAAAACUCUUUUACCCGUGAUGAUAAUGACAGUACCGGGAGAAUAAGCUCCGGCUAACUCCGUGCCAGCCGCCGCGGUAA
Molecule: ribosomal RNA, 449 nt
Filed under: uncultured bacterium
Lineage: Bacteria
Description: partial 16S ribosomal RNA
Rfam family: Bacterial small subunit ribosomal RNA
Source: RNAcentral